UACCAGCAGCCCGAGUGGUGACCACUUUUAUUGGGCCUAAAGCGUCCGUAGCCUGUUUGGUAAACCCUUGGGUAAAUCGAGCAGCUUAACUGUUCGACUUCUGAGGAGACUGCCAGACUUGGGACCGGGAGAGGUUGGAAGUACUUUUGGGGUAGGGGUGAAAUCCUGUAAUCCCAAAAGGACUACCGGUGGCGAAGGCGUCCAACUAGAACGGGUCCGACGGUAAGGGACGAAGCCCUGGGUCACGAACCGGAUUAGAUACCCCCGUA
RNAcentral lists this ribosomal RNA (269 nucleotides) under uncultured prokaryote. RNAcentral describes it as "partial 16S ribosomal RNA". It matches the Rfam family "Archaeal small subunit ribosomal RNA", at positions 474 to 743 of the family's 1478-position model. The record is from RNAcentral.